RNAcentral lists this long non-coding RNA (1408 nucleotides) under Bos indicus x Bos taurus (hybrid cattle). RNAcentral's name for it is "lncRNA (ENSBIXG00005023374.1)". Lineage: Eukaryota; Metazoa; Chordata; Mammalia; Artiodactyla; Bovidae. The record is from RNAcentral.
AUGUGUGUAUUCUUAGGACUCUGCCUCUGGAGAAAGGGCAUCCAUUCGGGGUGCUUGUGUCUGCCCUCCCUUCGCAGCUGUGAGCGUCUUGCUCAGUUGACACGAGCUGUGCGCCCUCCGGUUCCCACCACGGCAAGCCAUCCUUUCUCCCUUCGGAGGCGAGCGAAAAGGAGCAGAAUUCCGGCUCCACCAUCCCUGGUGACGAGCGGGCAGGGAGACUGUUCUCCUGAACCACGACCACCUCGUCACGGGUUGCCUCGCCCUCCCGUCACGGCUGGGCCAGCAGAGGCCAGGCGCCCUGAGUCCCCUCUCCUGGAUCCUCGGAGCGGGACGCUCCUCCAGGAAAGGACUUCCUCUCCCCACCGGCUGCGGGGACUGGGCGGCUGGCUGAUGGCUCGGCCCCACUGACGGAGCUUUUCCAGUUUUGGAAAGUGGCGUGUGCCUCCUUGCCCGGGCAGACGGUAAUUUAUGCUGCGAAUUCAGGCCUGGGCGUGACAACUCAGUCCUUUCAGGCCCCUGAAAACCUGCCUGGGGGCAGCUCCAGCCGCCAGCAGCACUGCCUCUGACCUGCCCUCGCCCACCGCCCUCGGCUCCCUGUCCCUGCCCGCCUCUCCCUCCAGGCCCCCACCUGCAGCCGCGCCAGCUGACACUGUCGCCUGCCAGCACAGGGACGCGGCAACACCUUCUGCAGAGUUUUGGGCCAGAGCUGGACUCCUCUGAGCCCUUAACAAGCAGCCUGCUCCGUAACAAACCACAGGACAAAUAUACUCGCUCCAAUGUGGCAGCCUGAGCUACUUAUUUUGCUUGAUUUAUGGGGAGUGAGACCCAAGGAUGCCGUGGGGCUUUUCAGACAUUGCUAAGUGUACGCUGACGCCCAGCGGGGUUGGGAAGGGGCUCAGUCUCCCAUACUCCAGCCGGGGCACAGGGCCUGGCAGCUGCGGGGAUGGAACGACGUGGGAAAGGGGGCAGGGAGGACCCCCCAGCCCGGGCUGGCUCCAGCCUGUGCCCACCGCCCGUCGGUCCCCAGCAGGACUCAGGCCCAGGGGAUCACUGGCGCUUCUCUGAAGUGUGAGCCCACCGGGCAGCGCACCCAGGAGAACUGGCCGUGUUCUCCAUCUGCUCCAUGCAGCGCGGCCUUUGCACACAGAGCACUUGAAGUGUGGUUCUUGAAAAUGCAUGACUACAGUUUAUUUAUUGCUGUGGUUUAGUCGCUCAGUCGUGUCCAGCUCUUUGCAACCCCAUGGACUGUAGCCCUCCAGGUUCCUCUGUCCAUGGGAUUUCCCAGGCAAGAAUACUGGAGUGGGUUGCCAUUUAGUGGGUUGCCAUUUCCUUCUCCAGGGAAUCUUCCCGACCCACGGCUCAAACCCACACAACCAGCAUUGGCGCCAGAUUCUUUACCGCUGAGCCA